UUGUUUCCCUAGCAAACUAGUAACGUUAACACAUCAAGAAAUGAGAAUACAGCUGUCAUAUGUCAUAUGACUGUAUGUUUGUUAUGAUGUUGCUUAUUGUGUUGUGCAGCUGCCGUUUCUUUAAUUAGGACCGCUCACUUCCAGAACUCCGCUGGGCAACGCCCACUUGACUGGUGUGCCUCGCAAACACCUGAUUGCAUGGUACAGGUGCGGAUCAUUAUGUCUAUGAUUGAGAUCCUUUUUAACAUGAACACUGAACAGUCUGUGAAUGCUGGACAUCACGCAGGAUUGCUGGAGAGGACGGGGGGGGACGGGGGGGGGAGGGGCCGGGUCUGUGGCAGAGCUUUUGUGUUUCGUUGGCGUUUACUGGAUUACCGGACGUCUGUUGAACGAGAUCCGAAGUUGAUUGGUUCCCUACUGCGUUGGAGUGGAGGCCGGUGAGAUCCCCGUCUUCUACGUUCGUGGGUUGCCAGGAAAGAGCUGACCUGAGUCGUCCGUUUGACUGAGAGAAGCCUGAAUGAGUAUUGACUGAGAGCUAGAUUCGUCUGCUCUCUGUUCAAUGGUGAGUGUGCCUUGUCCACUAAUAAGCUGAGGAAUUACGGUUAGCACCAUACAAAGUAGAGCUUCACGGACUAUCACAAGUAGCUAUUUUCUUUGGGUUGAUUUACUUUUGGUUGAUAUUAUUAUCUUUUCGUGUGUUGGUUAUUUACUUUCUGUUUGCUGUGAGUGUGUAUUGCUACUUGUGGAGAUACUGGCGAUUUCUCUCACUCUGUGUGCGUGCGAGUGUGCGUGAUUGACAGACCAACGUGAGCAGCGGUGGUGGAUGCUGACGGACUUUGCUUGCGGACUUUUGGAUACGGCGGACUCUUGGACAUUGUAGACUGUGGUUCCUUCGGCAGUGGCCUACGGCCUGAUUCAUAUGGACUUGUGUUGUAUUUAUAUUUUAGUGCUUGUAAUAAAUUGUAUAUUUUUGUAUCAGAAA
Long non-coding RNA from Clupea harengus (Atlantic herring), 982 nucleotides. RefSeq lists it as uncharacterized. The transcript has 2 exons. The record is from RefSeq and is a predicted model, not a curated record. Lineage: Eukaryota; Metazoa; Chordata; Actinopteri; Clupeiformes; Clupeidae.